Molecule: ribosomal RNA, 253 nt
Filed under: uncultured bacterium
Lineage: Bacteria
Description: partial 16S ribosomal RNA
Rfam family: Bacterial small subunit ribosomal RNA
Source: RNAcentral
UACGGAGGGUGCAAGCGUUAUCCGGAUUCACUGGGUUUAAAGGGUGCGUAGGUGGGUAGGUAAGUCAGCGGUGAAAUCCCCGAGCUUAACUUGGGAACUGCCAUUGAUACUAUCUGUCUUGAAUACCUUGGAGGUGAGCGGAAUAUGUCAUGUAGCGGUGAAAUGCUUAGAUAUGACAUAGAACACCAAUUGCGAAGGCAGCUCACUACACGGUCAUUGACACUGAGGCACGAAAGCGUGGGGAUCAAACAGG